Molecule: ribosomal RNA, 236 nt
Filed under: uncultured Staphylococcus sp.
Lineage: Bacteria; Bacillati; Bacillota; Bacilli; Caryophanales; Staphylococcaceae
Description: partial 16S ribosomal RNA
Rfam family: Bacterial small subunit ribosomal RNA
Source: RNAcentral
GGGUGAGUAACACGUGGAUAACCUACCUAUAAGACUGGGAUAACUUCGGGAAACCGGAGCUAAUACCGGAUAAUAUUUUGAACCGCAUGGUUCAAAAGUGUAAGACGGUCUUGCUGUCACUUAUAGAUGGAUCCGCGCUGCAUUAGCUAGUUGGUAAGGUAACGGCUUACCAAGGCAACGAUGCAUAGCCGACCUGAGAGGGUGAUCGGCCACACUGGAACUGAGACACGGUCCAG